This 75-nucleotide transfer RNA is filed under the name Pyrinomonadaceae bacterium. RNAcentral describes it as "tRNA-Gly". It matches the Rfam family "tRNA". From Rfam's summary of the family: Transfer RNA (tRNA) molecules are approximately 80 nucleotides in length. Their secondary structure includes four short double-helical elements and three loops (D, anti-codon, and T loops). Lineage: Bacteria; Pseudomonadati; Acidobacteriota; Blastocatellia; Blastocatellales; Pyrinomonadaceae. The record is from RNAcentral.
GCGUCGUUAGUCCAGCCAGGUCUAAGACACUGCGUUGCCAUCGCGGAAACGCCGGUUCGAAUCCGGCACGACGCA